RNAcentral lists this ribosomal RNA (440 nucleotides) under uncultured bacterium. Its description in RNAcentral is "partial 16S ribosomal RNA". It matches the Rfam family "Bacterial small subunit ribosomal RNA", at positions 338 to 795 of the family's 1533-position model. The record is from RNAcentral.
CCUACGGGUGGCAGCAGUGGGGAAUAUUGCACAAUGGAGGGAACUCUGAUGCAGCGACGCCGCGUGAGUGAAGAAGUAAUUCGUUAUGUAAAGCUCUAUCAGCAGGGAAGAAAGUGACGGUACCUGAAAAAGAAGCUCCGGCUAAAUACGUGCCAGCAGCCGCGGUAAUACGUAUGGAGCAAGCGUUAUCCGGAUUUACUGGGUGUAAAGGGAGAGUAGGUGGCAGAGCAAGUCCGAAGUGAAAACCCAAAGCUCAACUAUGGGAAUGCUUUAGAAACUGCUCAGCUAGAGUGCAGGAGAGGCAAGUGGAAUUCUUAGUGUAGCGGUGAAAUGCUUAGAGAUCAUACAGAACACCGAUUGCGAAGGCAGCUUACCAAGCUACUUCUGACGUUGAGGCACGAAAGCGUGGGGAGCAAACAGGAUUAGAUACCCUGGUAGUC